RNAcentral lists this unclassified non-coding RNA (253 nucleotides) under uncultured Bacteriovoracaceae bacterium. Its description in RNAcentral is "contains 16S-23S intergenic spacer region". It matches the Rfam family "Bacterial small subunit ribosomal RNA", at positions 524 to 776 of the family's 1533-position model. The record is from RNAcentral. Lineage: Bacteria; Pseudomonadati; Bdellovibrionota; Bacteriovoracia; Bacteriovoracales; Bacteriovoracaceae.
UACGGAGGGUGCAAGCGUUGUUCGGAUUUACUGGGCGUAAAGCGCGCGCAGGCGGAUUUGCAAGUCAGAUGUUAAAUCUCGGGGCUCAACCCCGAAACUGCGUCUGAAACUGCUUGUCUAGAGUCUCAUAGGGGGCAGGGGAAUUUCCCGUGUAGGGGUAAAAUCCGUAGAGAUGUGAAGGAACACCCGUGGCGAAGGCGCCUGCCUGGACGAGCACUGAUGCUGAGGCGCGAAAGCGUGGGGAGCAAACAGG